UGUUUGGGGCGCAACCUCGCGCGGGGACACAGCAGCGAGAGAGUGAGAGUGUCCCUGAUGACUGGAUUCUCCUCAAAUUAUUCCUGCUUGCUGUAUUAUGGCUGGUCAAGUUAACUAUUCACGGCGCUGUUUCCUGAGUGAAUUAACACUUGUCAGUGAUGAGGGCCUAUUUCGAAAUGAGCACUACACCACUGAAAUUGAAGGAAAGGUGGCAGGUGCACAGUGCGCUGUUCGGAUCGUGGGAUUAUAUUGGACGAAAGUGUGAAGGUUUGAGGAGCAGUUGCAGCUGCAGUGUGUGUGAUGUCACUCUGAACUCAAUAGAACAGUACUACGCACAUCUCCAGGGCUCCAGACACCAAAACAAUUUGAAGCAGCACCAGAGAUGUGUUGAGUCAGCCGGUCUGUGACUUCUGCCCCCCAGUGGAUGGAUGACCAGAGAGAAGAAGCAGCCAGAGAGAGACGGACUGGAAUUGUGAUGUCAUCGUGUGCCGUUUGUGCCGUCACAGUGCAGAGAAGGAGGUGUGACUGGUUGGACUAAAACAGAAACAGACAUAGCGAUGAUGUCACAUGCACAAACUUUUUCUGCAAAGAGAGUUCAAUGAUGUCAGUCACCCACAGAAAUUGACAAGAACACUUCUCACACUUUGUCAUCUGACACACACACACACACACACACACAGACAGUUGUGCCAGAGUUGAUUGAGUUGAUUCACGUCAUUAAAGUACUUUGAAACAUA
Molecule: long non-coding RNA, 737 nt
Organism: Oncorhynchus kisutch (coho salmon)
Lineage: Eukaryota; Metazoa; Chordata; Actinopteri; Salmoniformes; Salmonidae
Exons: 5
Source: RefSeq, a predicted model, not a curated record